RNAcentral lists this ribosomal RNA (505 nucleotides) under uncultured bacterium. RNAcentral's name for it is "partial 16S ribosomal RNA". It matches the Rfam family "Bacterial small subunit ribosomal RNA", at positions 29 to 523 of the family's 1533-position model. The record is from RNAcentral.
AUUGAACGCUGGCGGCACGCCUAACACAUGCAAGUCGAGCGGCAGCGUGAUUAGUAGCAAUACUAGUUGACGGCGAGCGGCGGACGGGUGAGUAAGACGUAGGGACCUGACACUCAGAGGGGGAUAACCAAGGGAAACUUUGGCUAAUACCGCGUAAACCCGGGAGAGGGAAGUUGCCUUGAAAGAGGUGACGCUGAAAGAGGGGCCUGCGACUGAUUAGCUAGUUGGUGAGGUAAAGGCUUACCAAGGCGAAGAUCGGUAGCUGGUCUGAGAGGACGACCAGCCACACUGGGACUGAGACACGGCCCAGACUCCUACGGGAGGCAGCAGUGGGGAAUCUUGGGCAAUGGGGGAACCCUGAUCCAGCGAUGCCGCGUGGGUGAAGAAGGCUUUCGGGUUGUAAAGCCCUUUAGGUUAGGAAGAAGUGUAUUGGUGGAGAAUACUGAUACAUUGACGGUACUAACAGAAUAAGCACCGGCAAACUCUGUGCCAGCCGCCGCGGUAA